AUCUAGGGACAUACGACCCUGAACACGUGAGAUCUCAUCUGAUCUCAGAAGCUAAGCAGGGUUGGUGCUGCUUAGCAGGAUUUGGAUAGGAGACCGCCUGGGAAUACCAGGUGCUGUAGGCU
Cercocebus atys (sooty mangabey) is the source of this 122-nucleotide ribosomal RNA. The record is from Ensembl. NCBI's taxonomy places the organism in Eukaryota, Metazoa, Chordata, Mammalia, Primates, Cercopithecidae.